GCACCCGCGGUAAUUCCAGCUCCAAUAGCGUAUAUUAAAGUUGUUGCAGUUAAAAAGCUCGUAGUUGGAUUUCUGCGAGGGUGCCAAUGUCCGCCGACGCGCGUGCGCAGCGGCGCCCUCGCAUCCUUCUGUUACCACCUCUCGGCAUUCACUUGCCGGUGGUCGGCUCAGAGAAUUUACCUUGAGAAAAUUAGAGUGUUUCAGGCAGGCUAGGCCGGAAUACAUUAGCAUGGAAUAAUGGAAUAGGACUACGGUCUCGUUGUUGGUUUGAGGGACUGCAGUAAUGAUUAAUAGGGAUAGUUGGGGGCAUUAGUAUUUAAUUGUCAGAGGUGAAAUUCUCAGAUUUGUUAAAGACUAACUUAUGCGAAAGCAUUUGCCAAGGAUGUUUUCAUUAAUCAAGAACGAAAGU
This 409-nucleotide ribosomal RNA is filed under the name uncultured eukaryote. Its description in RNAcentral is "SSU rRNA". It matches the Rfam family "Eukaryotic small subunit ribosomal RNA", at positions 570 to 990 of the family's 1831-position model. The record is from RNAcentral.